AGUGAACGCUGGCGGUAGGCCUAACACAUGCAAGUCGAACGGCAGCACAGUAAGAGCUUGCUCUUACGGGUGGCGAGUGGCGGACGGGUGAGGAAUACAUCGGAAUCUACUUUUUCGUGGGGGAUAACGUAGGGAAACUUACGCUAAUACCGCAUACGACCUACGGGUGAAAGCAGGGGAUCUUCGGACCUUGCGCGAUUGAAUGAGCCGAUGUCGGAUUAGCUAGUUGGCGGGGUAAAGACCCACCAAGGCGACGAUCCGUAGCUGGUCUGAGAGGAUGAUCAGCCACACUGGAACUGAGACACGGUCCAGACUCCUACGGGAGGCAGCAGUGGGGAAUAUUGGACAAUGGGCGCAAGCCUGAUCCAGCCAUACCGCGUGGGUGAAGAAGGCCUUCGGGUUGUAAAGCCCUUUUGUUGGGAAAGAAAAGCAGCAGGUUAAUACCCCGCUGUUCUGACGGUACCAAAAGAAUAAGCACCGGCUAACUUCGUG
RNAcentral lists this ribosomal RNA (492 nucleotides) under uncultured bacterium. RNAcentral describes it as "partial 16S ribosomal RNA". It matches the Rfam family "Bacterial small subunit ribosomal RNA", at positions 29 to 507 of the family's 1533-position model. The record is from RNAcentral.